AGCAGCCGCGGUAAUUCCAGCUCCAAUAGCGUAUAUUAAAGUUGUUGCAGUUAAAAAGCUCGUAGUUGAACUUCAGGCCUGGCUGGACGGUCCGCCUUCCGGGCGAGUACUGUCUGUGGUCGGGUCCUACCUUCUGGCGAAGCGUCAUGGCCUUAACCGGCCGUGGCGGGGAACCAGGACUUUUACUGUGAAAAAUUAGAGUGUUCAAAGCAGGCAAUUUCGCUUGGAUACAUUAGCAUGGAAUAAUGGAAUAGGACAAUGGUUCUAUUUGUUGGUUUCUAGGACUGUUGUAAUGAUUAAUAGGGAUAGUUGGGGGCAUUAGUAUUCAAUUGUCAGAGGUGAAAUUCUUGGAUUUAUUGAAGACUAACUACUGCGAAAGCAUUUGCCAAGGAUGUUUUCAUUAAUCAAGAACGAAAGUUAGGGGAUCGAAGACGAUCAGAUACCGUCGUAGUCUUAACCAUAAACUAUG
RNAcentral lists this ribosomal RNA (469 nucleotides) under uncultured Paraglomus. RNAcentral's name for it is "SSU rRNA". It matches the Rfam family "Eukaryotic small subunit ribosomal RNA", at positions 569 to 1041 of the family's 1831-position model. The record is from RNAcentral. Lineage: Eukaryota; Fungi; Glomeromycota; Glomeromycetes; Paraglomerales; Paraglomeraceae.